CACCGGCGGCUCGAGUGGUAACCGCUAUUAUUGGGUCUAAAGGGUCUGUAGCCGGUCUGGUAAGUCUUUUGGGAAAUCCGGCAGCUCAACUGUCGGGCUUUCAGGGGAUACUGCUAGACUCGAGACCGGGAGAGGUGAGAGGUACUUCAGGGGUAGGGGUGAAAUCUUGUAAUCCUUGAAGGACCACCAGUGGCGAAGGCGUCUCACCAGAACGGAUCUGACGGCAAGGGACGAAAGCUAGGGGCACGAACCGG
This 254-nucleotide ribosomal RNA is filed under the name uncultured Methanosaeta sp. RNAcentral's name for it is "partial 16S ribosomal RNA". It matches the Rfam family "Archaeal small subunit ribosomal RNA", at positions 474 to 727 of the family's 1478-position model. Lineage: Archaea; Methanobacteriati; Methanobacteriota; Methanomicrobia; Methanotrichales; Methanotrichaceae. The record is from RNAcentral.